RNAcentral lists this long non-coding RNA (369 nucleotides) under Oryza brachyantha (malo sina). Its description in RNAcentral is "long non-coding RNA (OBRA_LNC000542)". Lineage: Eukaryota; Viridiplantae; Streptophyta; Magnoliopsida; Poales; Poaceae. The record is from RNAcentral.
GAAGAUGCACAAUACUUAUUACUUGAUAAAAAUCGAAAAAAGAAAUAUCAGACAAAGCAGUGCAAAAAUUGGAUUAAAAGAUAAUCACAACAAUUUAGCCAAUAGCGAUAGAUGUACAACAUAACUAAUUUUAUCAUACAUAAUCCCUAUUAUCUUAAGCUUGACGCAUAGGGAAGUAGGUCCAGGAGUGGCGGCGCUAUGUAAGAUGUCGAACGGCUAAGUGACCUUGCUGCAAGUUUAUGGGCCUCAUGCGAAUAUGCGCUGUUGGCCUUUGCGUAAUUCCGUUAUUUGUGCCUAGUUGUAGUGUGUGCUAGCCAGCCCCUGCCCCCCAUAAGCUAGGGAUACAAGCCCGCGCUACCGGGCUCGGCA